This 245-nucleotide ribosomal RNA is filed under the name uncultured Thermodesulfovibrio sp. RNAcentral describes it as "partial 16S ribosomal RNA". It matches the Rfam family "Bacterial small subunit ribosomal RNA", at positions 524 to 768 of the family's 1533-position model. Lineage: Bacteria; Pseudomonadati; Nitrospirota; Thermodesulfovibrionia; Thermodesulfovibrionales; Thermodesulfovibrionaceae. The record is from RNAcentral.
GACAGAGGUGCCAAGCGUUAGGCGGAAUCACUGGGCUUAAAGCGUGUGUAGGCGGAUCGUUAAGUGUCUUGUGAAAUCCCACGGCUCACCCGUGGAACGGCUGGGCAUACUGGCGAUCUUGGGCCAACUAGGGGCAACUGGAACAAGCGGUGGAGCGGUGAAAUGCGUAGAUAUCGCUUGGAACGCCGAAGGUGAAAACAGGCUACUGGGGUCGUGCCGACGCUGAGACACGAAAGCCAGGGGAG